CCCAGCCCUGACAUACAGAAUGCACAAUGUCAUAUCCAGGCCCCAUCCUCCCCAGCCCUGACAUACAGAGUGCAUGAUAUCAUAUCCUCCCCAGCCCUGACAUGUGUAUGAUGUCAUAUCCAGGAGCCCCAUCCUCCCCAGCCCUGACAUACAAAGUGCAUGAUGGCAUAUCCAGGGCCCCCAUCCUCCCCAGCCCUGACAUACAGAGUGCAUGAUGUCAUAUCCAGGGGCCCAUCCUCCCCAGCCCUGACAUACAGAGUGCAUGAUGUCAUAUCCAGGGGCCCAUCCUCCCCAGCCCUGACAUACAGAGUGCAUGAUGUCAUAUCCAGGGCCCAUCCUGCCCAGCCCUGACAUACAGAGUGUAUGACGUCAUAUCUAGGGCCCAUCCUCCCCAGCCCUGACAUACAGAGUGCAUGAUGUCAUAUCCAGGGCCCCAUCCUCCCCAGCCGACAUACAGAGUGCAUGAUGUCAUAUCCUCCCCAGCCCUGACAUACAGAGUGCAUGAUGUCAUAUCCAGGGCCCAUCCUCCCCAGCCCUGACAUACAGAGUGCAUGAUGUCAUAUCCAGGGCCCCACCCUCCCCAGCCCUGACAUACAGAGUGCAUGAUGUCAUAUCCAGGGGCCCAUCCUCCCCAGCCCUGACAUACAGAGUGCAUGAUGUCAUAUCCUCCCCAGCCAUGACAUACAGAGUGCAUGAUGUCAUAUCCAGGGCCCAUCCUGCCCAGCCCUGACAUACAGAGUGCAUGAUGUCAUAUCCAGGGCCCCAUCCUCCCCAGCCCCGACAUACAGAGUGUAUGAUCUCAUAUCCAGGGGCCCAUCCUCCCCAGCCCUGACAUACAGAGUGCCUGAUGUCAUAUCCAGGGGCCCCAUCCUCCCCAACCCUGACAUACAGAGUGCAUGAUGUCAUAUCCAGGGGCCCAUCCUCCCCAGCCCUGACAUACAGAGUGUAUGAUGUCAUAUCUAAGGCCCAUCCUCCCCAGCCCUGACAUACAGAGUGCCUGAUGUCAUAUCCAGGGGCCCCAUCCUCCCCAGCCCUGACAUACAGAGUGUAUGAUGUCAUAUCCAGGGGCCCAUCCUCCCCAGCCCUGACAUACAGAGUGCAUGAUGUCAUAUCCAGGGGACCCAUCUUCCCCAGCCCUGACAUACAGAGUGUAUGAUGUCAUAUCCAGGCCCCAUCCUCCCC
Molecule: non-coding RNA, 1182 nt
Organism: Pelobates cultripes (western spadefoot toad)
Lineage: Eukaryota; Metazoa; Chordata; Amphibia; Anura; Pelobatidae
Source: the annotation of a GenBank genome assembly